This 1575-nucleotide long non-coding RNA is filed under the name Vombatus ursinus (common wombat). Its description in RNAcentral is "lncRNA (ENSVURG00010024359.1)". Lineage: Eukaryota; Metazoa; Chordata; Mammalia; Diprotodontia; Vombatidae. The record is from RNAcentral.
ACCGGCCAAGAUUUGCAUGGACUCGAGAAAAGCAUGUGCCUCCAGCAGCCUAUGGCCGUGUGCAUUGUCAUGAGAGUCUCUGCUUCUCCAUUCUCAGGAAAAGGCAAAGGUGUGUUUUGUGAGAAACUCCCUAGUUUGGAUAGACAGAUUGCUGAGAUGUGUUUCGAUGAAGCUAACAGAUGUGGGAAACCAUUAGUCUGUGGAUUCUACAAGCGUUUUGAUCCAGCUUUACAAUUCUUGUACCAGAAAGUCGGUGAGAGCCGCGCGCUAGGGAGGAUACAUCGGAUAGCAGUCGUUAGCAGCAUCUAUCCACCAGCUUCUCCCAGUUUGCUAAGGAAGUCAGGUGGGAUCUUUUAUAACGCUGCUGUGCAUGACGUGGACAUCGUCAGUCUCUUGUUGGGAGAGAGUGUUCCAGACACAGUCUUUUCUUUGGGUCAUGCGUUCUGCUCAGAUGUGGCCUCUUUGAAAGAUGCAGACAGUGUCAUGGUCAGCAUGAAGUUUCCUAGUGGGGCCAUUGUUAGUUUGGAUAUCAGUCAACACUGCACCAAAAGCUGUGACCUGAGAGUGGAGGUUCAUGGUUCUCAAGGAACUUUACGGGUCGAUAAUCAGAAUCCCUUGGGGAUUACUGAGCGUGGAACCUCCGUGUCCAUAUACUCACACACACAUGUCGAUCGGUACCAAGAAGCAUAUAGAGGACUCUUUCGACACUUUCUCAGAACCCUUAAAGGAAAAGAACCCCCAACUGUCCCCAAAGAACAGUUUCUCUGGACCAUUCAGGUGGCUGCAGCAGCUGAGCAAUCCUGGCGGAAUGGGUCAGCUGUCGACUUCAGCAAUGAAGGUUGAGAUAUAAAUGCGAUGUCGGUUAUCAAGAUGGAAAUACUGUGAAGAGGGAAUAACUGACUUAAGUUUUGCUGAAGAAGACAACCUUAUACCUAUUUCCAUUUUCAUUAAUUUAAAAAAAUUAAUUGCAGUGUUUUGUGACUUUAUUUUCACUGGAAACCAUGAGCUGGGAACUUUGGGGAAAUGUGUGUAUAUGGUAAUGGUGUAGCAAGUAAUUUUCUUAGGAUGUUGUAUUAGGCCCAAAAAUGAAGCUUGAAAGGCAUCAUUCUGUUAGUGUGUAUUUUUCCUUGUGUUCGAAGGAGGCAUUUAGGUGAGAAAGGCUGACAUUUUGUUUUUAAAGAACACGUAUGCAUUAUCCAUCCUGAGAAACAUACCAGCCAUUUACUUCCCACACUGUGGCAACAAAACAUGCUUCUGUGAAAAUAGGUUUGUUGCCCCCGCAUGGAUAUGUGGUCUGUUUUGGGGGGCGAGGGCGGGGAGGAAGGAUGGAGUGAUGCUCCUUUUUCUUUUGAGACGGGGUGGGACAAACAGUCUAAGAUAGGGCUCUUUUCCCCCUCAGACAGUCAAAUCUAGAUGAGAUUGUGUAUAAAUGUUACAGAAAAAGAUAGUGCCUUCCAAAAUGGGCCACUCUGCUUUAACUCAAGUUUGGGGUUAUCUUUUUUAUUCUUAUGUCAGACUUACUGCAGAUGUUUUUAUAUAUUUGAAGAUUCUUGUCUGUAAUUUCUCAUAUCCUAC